AAUUUUGGACAAUGGGGGAAACCCUGAUCCAGCCAUCCCGCGUGUAUGAUGAAGGUCUNCGGAUUNUNAAGCACUUUAAGUUGGGNGGAAGGGUUGUAGGUUAAUACCCUGCAAUUUUGACGUUACCAACAGAAUAAGCACCGGCUAACUUCGUGCCAGCAGCCGCGGUAAUACGACGGGUGCAAGCGUUAAUCGGAAUUACUGGGCGUAAAGCGCGCGUAGGUGGUUUGUUAAGUUGGAAGUGAAAGCCCCGGGCUCAACCUGGGAACUGCUUUCAAAACUGCUGAGCUAGAGUACGGUAGAGGGUAGUGGAAUUUCCUGUGUAGCGGUGAAAUGCGUAGAUAUAGGAAGGAACACCAGUGGCGAAGGCGACCACCUGGGCUAAUACUGACACUGAGGUGCGAAAGCGUGGGGAGCAAACAGG
This 424-nucleotide ribosomal RNA is filed under the name uncultured bacterium. RNAcentral describes it as "partial 16S ribosomal RNA". It matches the Rfam family "Bacterial small subunit ribosomal RNA", at positions 360 to 776 of the family's 1533-position model. The record is from RNAcentral.